This is a transfer RNA of Nicotiana attenuata, 93 nucleotides long. It matches the Rfam family "tRNA". Rfam says of the family: Transfer RNA (tRNA) molecules are approximately 80 nucleotides in length. The record is from Rfam. NCBI's taxonomy places the organism in Eukaryota, Viridiplantae, Streptophyta, Magnoliopsida, Solanales, Solanaceae.
AGAGAGAUGGUUGAGCGGUUGAUAGCCCCGGUCUUGAAAACCCGGUAUAGUUUUAACAAAGAACUAUCGAGGGUUCGAAUCCCUCUCUCUCCU